This 254-nucleotide ribosomal RNA is filed under the name uncultured bacterium. RNAcentral's name for it is "partial 16S ribosomal RNA". It matches the Rfam family "Bacterial small subunit ribosomal RNA", at positions 524 to 776 of the family's 1533-position model. The record is from RNAcentral.
UACGAAGGGGGCUAGCGUUGCUCGGAAUCACUGGGCGUAAAGCGCACGUAGGCGGACUCUUAAGUCGGUGGUGAAAUCCUGGAGCUCAACUCCAGAACUGCCUCCGAUACUGCGAGUCUCCGAGUCCGGGAGAGGUGAGUGGAACUGCGAGUGUAGAGGUGAAAUUCGUAGAUAUUCGCAAGAACACCAGUGGCGAAGGCGGGUCUCUGGACAGUUCCUGACACUGAGGCACGAAGGCCAGGGGAGCAAACGGG